RNAcentral lists this transfer RNA (72 nucleotides) under Anaerolineae bacterium. RNAcentral's name for it is "tRNA-Trp". It matches the Rfam family "tRNA". From Rfam's summary of the family: Transfer RNA (tRNA) molecules are approximately 80 nucleotides in length. Their secondary structure includes four short double-helical elements and three loops (D, anti-codon, and T loops). The record is from RNAcentral. Lineage: Bacteria; Bacillati; Chloroflexota; Anaerolineae.
GCGCCGGUCGUCUAACAGGCAAGACGGCGGUCUCCAAAACCGCUGAUGGGCGUUCGGGUCGCUCCCGGCGUG